This 474-nucleotide ribosomal RNA is filed under the name uncultured bacterium. RNAcentral describes it as "SSU rRNA". It matches the Rfam family "Bacterial small subunit ribosomal RNA", at positions 26 to 518 of the family's 1533-position model. The record is from RNAcentral.
AGGAUAAACGCUGGCGGCGUGCCUAACACAUGCAAGUCGAACGUCCUACGCAAGUAGGGAGUGGCGGACGGGUGAGUAACACGUGGGCAAUCUACCUUUCGGUGAGGAAUACCGGCGAGAAAUCGCCGACAAUACCGCAUACGCUUCGCAAGAAGCAAAGUCGCAAGACGCCGGAGGAGGAGCCUGCGCCCGAUUAGCUGGUUGGUGAGGUAAGAGCUCACCAAGGCUUCGAUGGGUAGCUGGUCUGAGAGGACGAUCAGCCACACUGGGACUGAGACACGGCCCAGACUCCUACGGGAGGCAGCAGUGGGGAAUCUUGCGCAAUGCGCGAAAGCGUGACGCAGCAACGCCGCGUGGGGGAAGAAGGCCUUCGGGUGUAAACCCCUUCAGUUGGACGAGCUUCGUCGGUGAAUAGCCGGCUGGAGUGACGGUACCUUCAGAAGAAGCCCGGCUAACUACGUGCCAGCAGCCGAC